Felis catus (domestic cat) is the source of this 1686-nucleotide long non-coding RNA. RefSeq lists it as uncharacterized. The record is from RefSeq and is a predicted model, not a curated record. The transcript is spliced from 5 exons. Lineage: Eukaryota; Metazoa; Chordata; Mammalia; Carnivora; Felidae.
GUUUUGAAAGUCACGGCGGGACCACACUUCCACGCUAGGACAGUACUCUGUCAUGAGUUCUUUCUCUCUUCUUACAGUUCCUCUCUUUGUGCAAAGUAAACUUUGCUUCCUUCGGUCAAAAGGACAUUGGAUGAGCGGAGUUGAAAGCACCAUUCUCCUGUCUCAUGAAUCACUGACCGACUUGGUUCCACAUUAGGUCACCGUAGAACACAGACUGUAACAGGAACACAUAAAAGCUCUAAAUGGGGAGGGGAGAGACGCUGUUCUGGAAUAUCGUUGCCAGAGUAACAUAAACCUUGUGUGUUUUCACAAGGAAAUGAGUCACUUGUUUCUGUUGGCUAAAACUCUGUUUUCUUUAAUUUCAUAUUUUAGCUGUCUAAUAUAUGCUGAAAGAGCCCAGGGUUUCCAGUCUUCAGAUGAAGAUAACUUGCUAAUUAAAAGCUCAACAGAGGGCUUGCGUGGUAAUUAAACCAAAGGGGAUAAAAGGAACACUCAAGCAACCAGGAGCACAAGGCAAAGGCAAGGAACUUUGUAUCCUGUUUCCAUGAUUUUCAAAAGGAUUUUCUCCUUCCUUCAACAUCAAUUGAUUUAAGAUGUAUUUUUUAAGAAGAUAACCCUGGGCCUAAAGCCAGAUAGAGUGCAUUCUUAAGAAACUCACUAAGAAGUGAUGUGCCUCCAACGCCCUGCGACUCAUCUGGGAGAGAAAUGCCUGCCAAGAGAGGCCUUUUGAACAUUCAGAGGAGUAGCUGAUUCUGCCAGCAUAGGAUCAAAGCCAAGAAGCUCACUCCCGAGACUAGAGCAAGGAUUUAAAAGGCCCAUCAUCAUGCAGACUCAGUAAGGUUCUGCCACACAAAAUGGAGUGCCAGGCCAGCAGGCAACUGAUUCAAGUGACAAGAGGUAAUAGGUACCUGUUGUAAAACGGCUUCCUGCGAGGCCAACGGAUCAGAAGACGACUGCCAUGAAAAAGACAGUUGUUAGACUCCCAAGUCCCGCCAAACCACAGGAGCCACACAGGGAAGCACCAAGAUCCAUCGGGAGGCGGAGGAAGCAAAGGGAAAAUGUGGACAAGAGCCUUUACUGUUGUUUCUACAGGAAGUAACAUGUGAGGCAAGUUAAGCAGGCUUAGAAUUGGCUGGUUUGAAUAAUUUCAGCAGGUUCUGGGGUAGGUAUAUGUACCUAGCCCUAGGAUAAUUAGGGUAGGGGAAUAUUAUCCCUGGGUGGGUAGUUGGGCUGGGCGUGUGGGCUCUGGAUGUGUUGGUUUGCAUAAGAAAGAUGCACUUACAGGCCAGCUGUUUACUAUAUCUAGGAACUGGCUAGCCCUGGAGGCGUAGUCUCUCCUGGGGUCAGCAAGGCACCAGAUGUCAAAACAUCAGAAACACAUGGUUAAUACAGUGCUCUGAAAAACAAAGAGGGCAAACAUGAGAAAUAAUGUUGAAGAGUCAAUAAUCAUCUCCAAAUCUAGAAUAUUUACCAAAUAAACCACCAAAUGGACAUGUGAAUUUUCCUUAGAGUAGGUUUAUGUUUCCUCUGACUUUUUUUUUAUUUAGUCCUUAGCUGCCAGUGCAGAGCAGGUGAGAAUGUCUGACAUAUGAAAAUUAAAGCACAAUUUGGUGACUAAGCACAACGUUAUAAAAUAAAAUAAGAAAGGGUAGUUUGGGGGGCGCCUGUGUGGCUAAGUCGGUUGAG